Ictidomys tridecemlineatus (thirteen-lined ground squirrel) is the source of this 877-nucleotide long non-coding RNA. RefSeq lists it as uncharacterized. Lineage: Eukaryota; Metazoa; Chordata; Mammalia; Rodentia; Sciuridae. The record is from RefSeq and is a predicted model, not a curated record.
GAACAGAGUACUUCUUGCACCUUCCCCCCAACCACACCCCACCUCCCCCACUCACACGUGGCUGGGUCCACCCGCCCAAGGAGCCACUGGGCACAGACUCCGGUCAACAUCCUGCUUCCUGCAGGGCCCUCCCGGGAGGCCCGGCCAGGGAGGGCACACAGAGGGGUGUUUGUUCGCAGUGGGCGGCGGGGAGAGAUGCUAAUCGCUGCGGAUCGCUGGGCCUGCUGAAGGUCAGGAGGUAACGCGACCCGCGGUUAUAAAUAACCGCGCCUGGCGGCGGCUGAGAACCACUCGCUGGAUCUGCGCCCCUCGCAGGCCCGCGGGCACGGAUUGAUUACUGCCCUCCCCAGCCCGGCCUGCGGGAACCUGAACCCCGAGACAGCCGCAGCGCAGUGACCUUUGGGGGUGGCGCGCAAGGAGUCCAGUGACUUCAUGCUGUCACCUCCCGCAGGCCAGAGAUGCCGCCCUUGAGGACAGGCAGCAGCCCUGAUGACUGUGGCCAGGGCCUAGAGGCUGGGAGCUAAGGAGAAGGUCGAUGUGGCUCCCAGGACCCACCCUGGAGCGCGCCUCCCCUGGUGGGAAAGCCCAGUCUCCACCUGGGGCAUGUCCAUCCCUGGCCCCAGAGGCUCAUGGGAAAUCCUGGCACUGCAGAAAGCAAAGCCCAGGGUUCUCCAAUGCCCUCAUGUAGCCCCUGCUCCACUUGGCGGGCUUUGGGGCCAGGGGCUCUCCAGGCCUCCUCCCUGCCCUGGUGGAGAAAAAAAUACACUAGCCGAGGACUGGCGUUGUAGCCCAGCUGGUGGAUCAUUUGCCUGGCAUGUGUGAGGCACUGGGUCCGAUCCUCGGCACUACACAAAAAUGAAUAAAUUAACCAAAGGUA